GUGGGGUCUUGUGGCGGGCACCUGUAAUCCCAGUUACUCGGGAGGCUGAGGCAAGAGAAUCAUUUAAGCCCAAGAGUUUGAGGUUGCUGUGAGCUGUGACGCCACAGCACUCUACCAAGGGUGACAAAGUGAGACUCUGUCUCAAAAAAUAAUAAUAAAUAAAUAAAACUGUUUUCUUUUUUUAGAGAUAGAGUCUUACUUUGUCACUCUGGGUAGAGUGAUGUGGCAUCACAGCUCACAGCAAUCUCAGCUCUUGGGCUUAGAUGAUUCUCUUGCCUUAG
This 281-nucleotide signal recognition particle RNA is filed under the name Otolemur garnettii (small-eared galago). RNAcentral describes it as "Metazoan signal recognition particle RNA". It matches the Rfam family "Metazoan signal recognition particle RNA". From Rfam's summary of the family: The signal recognition particle (SRP) is a universally conserved ribonucleoprotein. It is involved in the co-translational targeting of proteins to membranes. Lineage: Eukaryota; Metazoa; Chordata; Mammalia; Primates; Galagidae. The record is from Rfam by way of RNAcentral.